Molecule: ribosomal RNA, 394 nt
Filed under: uncultured bacterium
Lineage: Bacteria
Description: bacterial SSU rRNA
Rfam family: Bacterial small subunit ribosomal RNA
Source: RNAcentral
AUUGAACGCUGGCGGCAUGCCUUACACAUGCAAGUCGAACGGCAGCACGGGAGCUUGCUCCUGGUGGCGAGUGGCGAACGGGUGAGUAAUGCAUCGGAACGUGCCCUGAAGUGGGGGAUAACGUAGCGAAAGUUACGCUAAUACCGCAUAUUCUGUGAGCAGGAAAGCAGGGGAUCUUCGGACCUUGCGCUUUUGGAGCGGCCGAUGUCGGAUUAGCUAGUUGGUGGGGUAAAGGCCCACCAAGGCGACGAUCCGUAGCGGGUCUGAGAGGAUGAUCCGCCACACUGGAACUGAGACACGGUCCAGACUCCUACGGGAGGCAGCAGUGGGGAAUUUUGGACAAUGGGCGCAAGCCUGAUCCAGCCAUGCCGCGUGAGUGAAGAAGGCCUUCGGA